RNAcentral lists this long non-coding RNA (239 nucleotides) under Chinchilla lanigera (long-tailed chinchilla). RNAcentral describes it as "lncRNA (ENSCLAG00000028384.1)". The record is from RNAcentral. Lineage: Eukaryota; Metazoa; Chordata; Mammalia; Rodentia; Chinchillidae.
GGAAAGAAUGACAGACUAUGCCAGGUGGAGCUGAGUGUGAAGGAAGCAAGCCAGACAGGAAGGAGUGGCGGAGCGUACGAGGGCCGCUCGGGCAGGGCCUGAAUGGAGCCAGGAGGAGCAGUGUAGGGGGCUCUUAGAUGGGCUUCUGCGUGGACCCCUCUUGGCUUGCUCUCCCCCACACAGAGCAGUUCAUCACCCGGAAGCAUCCUGGCCUGAAGAUAAAGGCUGACAUUAAACUG